GACGAACGCUGGCGGCGUGCUUAACACAUGCAAGUCGAGCGGUAAGGCUCCUUCGGGAGUACACGAGCGGCGAACGGGUGAGUAACACGUGAGCAAUCUGCCCUUCACUUUGGGAUAACUUCCGGAAACGGAAGCUAAUACCGAAUACGACCACUUCAGGCAUCUGAUGGUGGUGGAAAGUUCCGGCGGUGAAGGAUGAGCUCGCGGCCUAUCAGCUUGUUGGUGAGGUAACGGCUCACCAAGGCUUCGACGGGUAGCCGGCCUGAGAGGGUGACCGGCCACACUGGGACAGAGACACGGCCCAGACUCCUACGGGCGGCAGCAGUGGGGAAUAUUGGACGAUGGGCGAAAGCCUGAUCCAGCAACGCCGCGUGAGGGAUGACUGCCUUCGGGUUGUAAACCUCUUUCAGCGGGGACGAAGCGAAAGUGACGGUACCCGCAGAAGAAGCACCGGCCAACUACGUGCCAGCCGCCGCGGUAA
This 481-nucleotide ribosomal RNA is filed under the name uncultured bacterium. Its description in RNAcentral is "partial 16S ribosomal RNA". It matches the Rfam family "Bacterial small subunit ribosomal RNA", at positions 28 to 523 of the family's 1533-position model. The record is from RNAcentral.